Molecule: long non-coding RNA, 2336 nt
Organism: Antechinus flavipes (yellow-footed antechinus)
Lineage: Eukaryota; Metazoa; Chordata; Mammalia; Dasyuromorphia; Dasyuridae
Exons: 2
Source: RefSeq, a predicted model, not a curated record
CACACACACACACACACACACAAACAAAACUGAUUAUUCUGCCCUCUUUGGGGAUGGGGAAGAAUGCUGCUCUGUUGCCUACUCACAGGACUCAUGGAACUGUAGAGAAAUGGAAGACAAAUAUAGCUGAUCUUUUUUUUCCCCUUUGGUGAUAUUUUAUGACUAGGGUGCCACCUAUUAGGGCUUUCUCUUAUAUAACUUUUCAGAAAUCCUAGGGAGGUAUAUUUUUUAAUUAUUAUGUUCUCUACCAUUGAAAUAUGCCAUAGAAUUCAUGCUGGCCUUAGUUAAUUUGUGAAUAAUUUUGAUUUUCACUAUCUUAAUAGUGUGGCACAUUAAUUCAAGAGGAUUUCUCUGGAACAGGUCUAGCAGCAAAUGGCUCCCUCACUGCAGGGGUCUCUGAAACCUUAGGUAUAAUUUCUCUUAUUUCAAAUUGUGGUCUUUGGGCACUCUUGGUCAUUGGUAACAGAACUACAAGAGAAUCGCAUAGGUAAAUGGGAAACCCCCUUUCAAAAGACAGUUAUCCAUUUAAAUUUAAGUUUAUAAUUUUUUGGGGAAUUUUAAAAAAUCUUGAUGUCUUACUGGACUUCAAUUAACAAACAUUUAUUAAGUGUUUACUAUGUGCCAAAAAUUGCUUUAAGUAUUGGCAAUACUUGGACAGAUGGAAAAGUCUGCCCUCGAGAAGUUUAUAUUCUAAUGGAGAAGGCAACAUAUAUAGUUAUAUAUAGUUAAAUUCAAGUUGGCAUUGGAGAAGGUACUAGUAGCUGGCCCUGGUCCUGGGUGGACCAGGAAAGAUCCCCUUCUUUCAACAGUGGGUGGUAUUUGAUGCGAGCUGAAGGAAAUUAGAUAUCCCAGGAGGCAGAGAUGUAGACAUGACAUUCUUGAACCUGGAGAUUGCUGGGAUAAAGGCCCAGAGAUGGAAGGUGAUGUGUUAAGUGUAAAGAACAACAGGAUAGCAUACCUGCAUCAUGGAGGGAGGGGAGCAAUAUGCAAAUAAAUUGAAAAGGUAGGAAGGGACUUUGCUUUAAAGCAAAUUUACUUUAAAGAAAUUGGAUCCUAUAGGUAAAAGGAAUUCUUUAGACUUAGUUUGGGUUGUGACAUGGUUAGACAUGCUUUAGGAAAGGCAGUUUGGAAGCUCUAUUCCUUGGAAUAGAGAAAUAGGGUAGGGAGGUCAAAUAAUUAUGGUAGCACAGAAUAAAUGUGACGAGUGGAAUUAGGGUGCUGGCUACAUUGAGUAAAGAGAAGGGAACGUGUCUGAGAGUUUUUGGCAAACGUUUGGAUACGUGGAUUGAAAGCAUAAGGUUGCUCCAAAGGUUAUGAAUCUGAAUGGUCAGGAAGAUGAUGGUAUUCUUAAUUUGGCCAGAGGACAGGUUUUGGGGUAAAGAUCACAAAUUUUUGUUUUAGAUAUGUGAACUCUUACCUCAUGAACAUGAUGGGGCUGAUCGAGCAGUGGAGACUGAAGCCAGAAGGAGAACCAAGAGAAGUGUGUUUAGUGGGAUAUUGAGGAGGUGUCUAAAAGGACGAUGACCUUGGAGAUAGCAUUGAAUGAAUCACCUGGAAUAAUGAUGUUGGAAGUGCGUUUACAGGUGGUUAAGAUGAGAGGAGAAGCUCUGAGGACAGAAUUUUUGACAACAGUUUGAUAUGGCAAUCAAAAAUGUUAAGGUGCUUACACCAAAGCAAGCACAAUGUCUAGCACUAGGGAAGAGAUAAUACCCAACCCCUUCCCACCCUCCUGGAAUAUUGGAGUUUUGAGCACCGUGUUUUAGGAACAACACUGAUAAAGGAGUGUUGAGAGGAGGGCAGUUGGUAUGGCAUUGUCAAGUUCAAGCCACGUGAGAAUUGUUCAAAGCAACUGGGGAUGUGUAGAGAAGAGUCAGAGUGGGGCAAGAUAAUUGUGUUAAGUCUUUUAGAUAGUAGAGGCAUCUGACCCUACAGGGCAAAAAUAGGAACAAGGUAGAAGUCAGAGAAGAAAAUGUAGUUUUGAUAUAAGGAAAACUGUCCAACAAUCUACUUUUUGAAUGGGAAUUGCUGCUUCGAAUGGUAUUUGGAUUCCUCCUUUUUUCCAGGUCUUCUAUUGCAGGUCAUAGGAUCCCUUGCUGGAUGUGUUGUAAAAGAUUGUUCAUGUUUAGGUUGGACAAAGUGGCUUCUGGGGGGACCCUUUAACUCUUGAACUGAGAUUUUGCUUCUAUAAUCACUGCAAAAGCCAUUUCUUCACAAAAUCAAUUCUUUUGUGAAAUACUCAUGUUUAGACUACUACUAGUCUGAGUGAUUAUUUUUCCUAAAUAGAUCUGUAGCUUCUCAUUAUCUAAUUACCAAAUAAAUCGUUUUUGACUUCUUGA